GACGAACGCUGGCGGCGUGCUUAACACAUGCAAGUCGAGCGGCAAGGCCCUUCGGGGUACACCAGCGGCGAACGGGGGAGUGACACGUGGGUAAUCUCCUCAUCACUUCGGGAUAACUCCGGGAAACCGGUGCUAAUACUGCAUAUGACCACCUCAGGCAUCAGAUGGUGGUGCAAAGUUCCGGCGGUAAUGGAUGAGCUCGCGGCCCAGCUGCUUGUUUGUGGGGUAGUGGUCUACCAAGGCAUCGACGGCUAGGCGGCAUGAGAGGGUGACCAGCCACACUAGGACUGAGGGACGGCGCAGACUCCAACGGGAGGCAGCGGUGGGAAGUAUUAGACAGUGGGCGAGAGCCUGAUACGGCGGCGCCGGGUGUGGGAUGACGGCCUUCGGGUUGUAAACCUCUUUCAGCAGAGACGAAGCGCAAGUGACGGUACCUGCAGAAGAAGCACCGGCCAACUACGUG
This 463-nucleotide ribosomal RNA is filed under the name uncultured bacterium. RNAcentral describes it as "partial 16S ribosomal RNA". It matches the Rfam family "Bacterial small subunit ribosomal RNA", at positions 28 to 507 of the family's 1533-position model. The record is from RNAcentral.